This 468-nucleotide ribosomal RNA is filed under the name uncultured bacterium. Its description in RNAcentral is "partial 16S ribosomal RNA". It matches the Rfam family "Bacterial small subunit ribosomal RNA", at positions 28 to 507 of the family's 1533-position model. The record is from RNAcentral.
GACGAACGCUGGCGGCGUGCUUAACACAUGCAAGUCGAACGGAAAGGCCCUGCUUUUGUGGGGUGCUCGAGUGGCGAACGGGUGAGUAACACGUGAGUAACCUGCCCUUGCCUUUGGGAUAACUUCAGGAAACUGGGGCUAAUACCGGAUAGGAGCUCCUGCUUCAUGGUGGGGGUUGGAAAGUUUCGGCGGUUGGGGAUGGACUCGCGGCUUAUCAGCUUGUUGGUGGGGUAGUGUCUUACCAAGGCUUUGACGGGUAGCCGGCCUGAGAGGGUGACCGGCCACAUUGGGACUGAGAUACGGCCCAGACUCCUACGGGAGGCAGCAGUGGGGAAUAUUGCACAAUGGGCGGAAGCCUGAUGCAGCAACGCCGCGUGCGGGAUGACGGCCUUCGGGUUGUAAACCGCUUUCGCCUGUGACGAAGCGUGAGUGACGGUAAUGGGUAAAGAAGCACCGGCUAACUACGUG